This 253-nucleotide ribosomal RNA is filed under the name uncultured bacterium. RNAcentral's name for it is "partial 16S ribosomal RNA". It matches the Rfam family "Bacterial small subunit ribosomal RNA", at positions 524 to 776 of the family's 1533-position model. The record is from RNAcentral.
UACGGAGGGGGCUAGCGUUGUUCGGAAUUACUGGGCGUAAAGCGCGCGUAGGCGGACCUGCAAGUCGGGGGUGAAAGCCCGGGGCUCAACCCCGGGAGGCGGAUGGAUACUGCUUGGCUCGAGUCCGGAAGAGGCGAGUGGAAUUCCCGGUGUAGCGGUGAAAUGCGCAGAUAUCGGGAGGAACACCAAUGGCGAAGGCAGCUCGCUGGGACGGUACUGACGCUGAGACGCGAAAGCGUGGGGAGCAAACAGG